AACAUCCUAGGUACAUGCCAUUAUCAAUACUCAACAUACUUUACCUCAUUGAAUUCGGGAUCGGCCUGGAAUGCUGAUUCAACAGUCUAGCCUUAACUUAACCUGCGCACGGAAACAAACCGUACGCUGAGUAUAUACUCAGUGGUAUUUCUAUAAUCCAAACACUUAAUAAUAUAACAAUUAAACUUAAAAUCACAAUAACAAUUAUAAGUAUUCAUUUAUUUAUUUUAUAGAUUAAUUUCAUUUACUUUCUGUAUAAAUUCUAUACAAUAUAUUCACAAUUCACUUGUAUUCACACUUUACUUCUUAACAAUAUAUCAUUUUAAUUCAUUCUAACAUCAAUCAUCAUCCAUUUGAACUUCACUCAUUUCAUGAACCUUUUGGUUCAUGUUUUCAAUCUCAUAUCUCAAUUUCAAUUCUCAAUUCAAUUUCUCAUUUCAUUCCAAUAGCUCAAUCAAUCAAAUUCACUCGAUUUAUCUUUUCACUUAUUUACCUCUAUUAACAAGACUCGGACUCUGAUAGAUACGCGGAUUCCUCCCAAACACACCAGAAUAUCCAACCCAAACACACCCGGAAUAUUAUAAAUCCUCCAUAACACACCAGUAUAUCAUAUAUAUAAUAUAUAUUUCAAUCAAUAUAAAUUUAAUCAAAAUGAUUUCAAUCAAUAUAAAUUUGAUAAAUUCAUCACAUACCAAAAUCAUUCCAUUUCAAUUGUAAAACAUCAUAAUUCUAACACUAACAGUUGUCAUAUGUAUAUAAAUAUAACAAAUAAUGACUGAGUUCGGAUUAUAGAAAUACAAACCGUAGUUUUUGAGCUAACUCCCGUUGACUUUGUCUUGUCCUUUCUUAGCCAAGAUUUCCGGUACCACAUUGACUACGAAAUUAAUACAAUUCAUAAUCAUUAAUACAUUACUAAUUUAUAUCUUGAGUUACAGAAUUCUAAAUUAAGAUUCGCUAAUUUUUCCUGAAACUAGACUCACAAAUCUUCUUACCAUAAAAUUUUCAGAAUUUUUGGUUUAGCCAUUAAGUACAGUUUAUUCUUUAAAUUCACCCCUAUUCUGCUGUCUGACAGUUUCGACCCUUCUUCACUAAAAAUUAAUUAUCUCACAGUACAGAACUCCGAUAAUAUUCCCAUUGAUUUCUCAUAAAAAUAGACUCCUUAGGGAUUCUAAACAGAUAACUUUAACCCUCUAAUUAUUUUUCUCCAAUUUUUGGUGAUUUUCCAAAGUCAGAACAGGGGAACCCGAAUUCAUUCUGACCUUGUCUCACAAAAUUCAUUAUAUCUCAUAAUUUACAAUUCAAUUGCUUAAACCGUUUCUUUUAUAAGAAACUAGACUCAAUAAGAUUUAAUUUCAUCUUUUAUUCAUCCUCUAAUUCAAUUUCUAUAAUUUUGGUGAUUUUUCAAACUUAGACUACUGCUGCUGUCCAAAAUAGUUUUAGUGCAAAAUGUUGAUUUUCUACUUUUAAUUUCAAUUUAAUCCUAACUAAAAUCACUUACUUUUCUAUCUUAAUUCAUACUUUAUUUCUACUCAAUUUUUAACCAAACUUAGACAUAAUUAUCAAUUUUUCAUCAUAAAACCAUAAUUUCAAAAUUCUUUCAAUUUAGUCCUUAAAGCAUAAAACUUAUGAAUCACUUUACAAUUCAAUCCUUAUUUCAUUUCUAACUUGAAUUUCUAUCAAUUUAGCCUUUAAUUCAUCAUUUUACUCAACAUGAAUAAUAUUUAUAAAUAUAAUAACUUUCAAAAUAUCAACUUAAUUUCAUCAAAACUUUGUUCUAAAGCUUUUAAAACAUCAAAAUUAAGUAAAAAGGGCUAAAUUGACAUACCUAUUAAAGUUUAAAGCUUCAAAACCUUGAUUUUCCCUUUUCUCCCUUUCUUUCUUUCUUUCCUUUCUUUCUCCCCUGUUUCGGUUCUC
This 1914-nucleotide long non-coding RNA is filed under the name Gossypium barbadense (sea-island cotton). RNAcentral's name for it is "long non-coding RNA (GBAR_LNC010892)". The record is from RNAcentral. Lineage: Eukaryota; Viridiplantae; Streptophyta; Magnoliopsida; Malvales; Malvaceae.